GGUAACAGGCCGUAUGGGAUCCCUUCGGGGUGACCUUGGCGCUGACGAGUGGCGGACGGGUGAGUAAUACUUAGGAAUCUGCCCAAUAGUGGGGGACAACUCGAGGAAACUCGAGCUAAUACCGCAUACGCCCUACGGGGGAAAGCGGGGGAUCUUCGGACCUCGCGCUAUUGGAUGAGCCUAAGUCGGAUUAGCUUGUUGGUAGGGUAAAGGCCUACCAAGGCGACGAUCCGUAGCUGGUCUGAGAGGACGAUCAGCCACACUGGGACUGAGACACGGCCCAGACUCCUACGGGAGGCAGCAGUGGGGAAUAUUGGACAAUGGGCGCAAGCCUGAUCCAGCAAUGCCGCGUGUGUGAAGAAGGCCUGCGGGUUGUAAAGCACAUUCAGUAGAGAAGAAAAGCUUACGGUUAAUACCUGUGAGUCUUGACGUAACCUACAGAAGAAGCACCGGCUAACUCCGCGCCAGCAGCCGCGGUAAUA
Molecule: ribosomal RNA, 482 nt
Filed under: uncultured bacterium
Lineage: Bacteria
Description: bacterial SSU rRNA
Rfam family: Bacterial small subunit ribosomal RNA
Source: RNAcentral